CGCGUAGGCAAUCUACCCUCAGCAGGGGGAUAACCAGUGGAAACGCUGGCUAAUACCCCAUAAUGUCGUGGUACCGCAUGGUGCAACGAUCAAAGUUCAGGCGGCUGAGGAUGAGCCUGCGUUAGAUUAGCUAGUUGGUGGGGUAAAAGCCCACCAAGGCAACGAUCUAUAGCGGGUCUGAGAGGAUGAUCCGUCACACUGGCACUGAGACACGGGCCAG
RNAcentral lists this ribosomal RNA (220 nucleotides) under uncultured bacterium. RNAcentral's name for it is "partial 16S ribosomal RNA". It matches the Rfam family "Bacterial small subunit ribosomal RNA", at positions 114 to 334 of the family's 1533-position model. The record is from RNAcentral.